UACGUAGGCAGCGAGCGUUGUUCGGAGUUACUGGGCGUAAAGGGUGUGUAGGCGGCUGUUUAAGUUUGGUGUGAAAUCUCCCGGCUCAACUGGGAGGGUGCGCCGAAUACUGAAUGACUAGAGUGCAGGAGAGGAAAGUGGAAUUCCUGGUGUAGCGGUGAAAUGCGUAGAUAUCAGGAGGAACACCGGUGGUGUAGACGGCUUUCUGGACCGUAACUGACGCUGAGACACGAAAGCGUGGGUAGCAAACAGG
RNAcentral lists this ribosomal RNA (253 nucleotides) under uncultured bacterium. RNAcentral describes it as "partial 16S ribosomal RNA". It matches the Rfam family "Bacterial small subunit ribosomal RNA", at positions 524 to 776 of the family's 1533-position model. The record is from RNAcentral.